UACAAGCCGUCAGAGCCUUUUGGGUGAUGGCGUGCCUUUUGAAGAAUGAGCCUGCGAGUCAGCGGCGCGUCGCGAGGUUAACCCGCCUGUGGGGUAGUCGUAGGGAAACCGAGUCUUUGUUGGGCGUGUAAGUGGCGUGUCCUGGACCCGAAGCGGGGUGAUCUACCCAUGGCCAGUGUGAAGCAGCUGUAAGAGGUUGUGGAGGCGCGAACCCACGUAGGUUAAAAACUGCGGGGAUGAGUUGUGGGUAGGGGUGA
RNAcentral lists this ribosomal RNA (257 nucleotides) under Anophryoides haemophila. RNAcentral describes it as "partial Bacterial large subunit ribosomal RNA". It matches the Rfam family "Bacterial large subunit ribosomal RNA", at positions 565 to 824 of the family's 2925-position model. The record is from RNAcentral. Lineage: Eukaryota; Ciliophora; Oligohymenophorea; Philasterida; Glauconematidae.